Molecule: transfer RNA, 70 nt
Filed under: Lysobacteraceae bacterium
Lineage: Bacteria; Pseudomonadati; Pseudomonadota; Gammaproteobacteria; Lysobacterales; Lysobacteraceae
Description: Xanthomonadaceae bacterium tRNA-OTHER
Rfam family: tRNA
About the family: Transfer RNA (tRNA) molecules are approximately 80 nucleotides in length.
Source: RNAcentral
GGACGGUAGCUCAGAGGCAGAGCAGCGGCGCAAGCCGUCGGCCGCCGGUUCGAAUCCGGUUCGUCCACCA